This 253-nucleotide ribosomal RNA is filed under the name uncultured bacterium. RNAcentral describes it as "partial 16S ribosomal RNA". It matches the Rfam family "Bacterial small subunit ribosomal RNA", at positions 524 to 776 of the family's 1533-position model. The record is from RNAcentral.
UACGGGGGGGGCAAGCGUUGUUCGGAAUUACUGGGCGUAAAGGGCUCGUAGGCGGCCAACUAAGUCGGAUGUGAAAUCCCCAGGCUUAACCUGGGAACUGCAUCCGAUACUGGAUGGCUUGAAUCCGGGAGAGGGAUGCGGAAUUCCAGGUGUAGCGGUGAAAUGCGCAGAUAUCAGGAGGAACACCAAUAGCGAAGGCAGCUCGCUGGGACGUUACUGACACUGAGGCGCGAAAGCGUGGGGAGCGAACAGG